UAUUUUCAGAGUUCAACAAUGUCUAAAGGAGUCAUUUUAGUAACCGGUGGGGCUGGUUAUGUUGGUUCUCAUUGUGUGAUUGAACUUUUAAAUAGUGGAUACCAGGUUGUGGCGAUUGAUAAUUUUGUGAAUGCUGUAAAAGAUCCCACUGGGAAAACCGAAUACCCAGAAUCGCUCAUCAGGUUCAAAUAUUUUUAAAAUUUUAACUUCAAUAUCUUUUGGAAAAUAACGGUGCCAUGUUUCUACCUCGCCAUUUUUAACUCAAAUUCUGGUUUUAAAAAUAGCAACUA
Molecule: long non-coding RNA, 290 nt
Organism: Eurytemora carolleeae
Lineage: Eukaryota; Metazoa; Arthropoda; Copepoda; Calanoida; Temoridae
Exons: 3
Source: RefSeq, a predicted model, not a curated record